Long non-coding RNA from Trachemys scripta elegans, 4326 nucleotides. RefSeq lists it as uncharacterized. Lineage: Eukaryota; Metazoa; Chordata; Testudines; Emydidae. The record is from RefSeq and is a predicted model, not a curated record. The transcript is spliced from 3 exons.
CCGAGUGCAGGGAACCGGGCCGGCUUCCUGGGGACAAAGAGGGACUGCCCGGGACAGAAACACCAACCAAAACAAACUCUCCAGGCUGCUGCGGGAAACACAGGCGCAGGCCGGGGCGGAGGAGGGGGAGGCAAGCGAAGCACCUGGCACCUAGCCAAGGAUAGCCUUGGCGGCACAGCUCACUCAGCUAGGGAGCGUGAAACCAGCCAGGUCAGUUUCCUGCCAUUCCUCUUUCUAAGACAGGGCUGCAGGGCUUGCAUUACAGAACCACAGAGGGACUCUUGCAGGCUGCUCUGACCUGCAUGGAGGUGGUCUAAGAACGGGACCUGCGAACUCCGGAGACCUGCUCCUAGGCAGAUCUGCAUGGGAGCAGGCCCUGGAAAGACGUGCUUGGUUUUAGUAGAUCAGGGCCUACAGUACGUUGGUUUAUUCUCAGGUGGUGACAUCUCGGCCCGACUGAUGUCAACAGCAAGACGCCAGGCCAGCCAUUGUCCCUGCAGAGCCGACACAGCUCCAGGAGAGCUGGUGUGAGUCCAGCCCCUGGCACCAACACACUAGGGUCUGAUGCAGAGUCCAGGAAAAUGCUGCCGGUCAGCAGGCAGGAAAACCCCUCAGGUCACAUGAGCCACUAAGCACGCCUGGGCCCGGCCCCGCCCCGCUGUGCCGCUUCCAGGCAGAUCGGCACUUUCAGUCCAAAACGCACCCGAUUCGCUCCAGUCCGUCCAGCAAAGCGAUCCCUGGGAACCCAUCUGUCCCCAUUAGGGAUCGAACAUCCCUCUCAUGUUUUCCUCAUUCCCACCCAGACGCCAGGCACCGGGGCCCUCGGCACAGAGCAGAGGUGUUGCCCAGGAACCAAGGCAAGUCCUAGCCAGAUUGAAGCGAACGGCUGGGGCCAGGAUGGGGAUAUUUUAAAGGGCUUCCCUCCCUCCACUGGCCCCAUCUAGCUCCUCCCGGGGGAAUAAAUCAGAUUGGGAUUGCAUGGGGCAUUCUUCUCUGGCUACACAGCCGUGUCUCCCUGCUAGGCACAGGCCCUGGGUCUCUGCAGCUGGCCUCAGCACAUCCAGAGGGAGGAAGUGUGAGGCACAGGACAGGGAUCCAGGACUCCUGGGUUCUCUUCCCAUCUCUGACUCGGAUUUCCUCUGAGGUCUUGGGCAAGUCACGUAACUGUUCCGUGCCUCAGUUUCCCCCGAUGUAAAAUAGGGGCAGGGCUGUGUCAGAGGCACCUAGGGCUCCUCCCACAAGCCCAUUCUCACAUGCUUGUGGCCCAAUCCAACCAGUUAUUGCCGUGCUAUCUCCCACAGCACCCCACACUCAGCCCGGCCGAUGGCUGAUCUACACAGCCAGCGGGCACAAAGCAGGGCUGGAUCCAAGACGGUUCAGCUGGCCCAGUGCAGAGCUGGAAGGGUCAGGGACUGAUCCUGCGUGGACCUCAUAAGGGGCAGGAUCAGGGGGGCCCUGGAGAGAUCCCAGAGACCGGCAGCUACCGCGCAUUUCCCCAGGGGGCUGUGUCAGUCCCCAGCUCCCUACACCACGGGGGCACGGGCUGGCAUACGGCGGCGACCCCGCCAGGCAGCAUUCAAGAAUCGCCACGUGCCUGAGCUGAGACAGGCUGCCCACGGCUGGGCACAGACAAAGCCGAUCGUCAGCUGCUGCCUGGUGCACUCCCAGGAGACCCACCAGCUGGGUAAAAUACCCACACAAUGGGCCGGGCCUCAGUUGGCAGAAGAGCGCCAGCAAACCCAGCACUGGGGGGCUGGCUGGCUCACGGCAUUUCCUUUGCAGGGGGACCUCCACGCCCCCGGGUUUCAGCCCUGUCUUAAGCUGUCUGGCACUCGCACUUCUGAACCCUGCUGCAGAUGCCAGCACUGCGUAGGCGCUGCCCGCCAGCCCUUGGCAAGUCCCAGCAAAGCCCCUGGCCAGCCUGUAUCUUCCGCCGUGGGUUGUCUGUCCGACAUGGAGCAUGGAGCGGUCCGGAGUCCCUAAGAACCCCCUCCAGAUGCACGGGACUGCCUGAGCCCGCUGGGGCGGAAAUCUUGCUUUCUUCUGAGAUUUCUAGAAAUCCCUUCGGACCAUUGGACCGGCAAGUACAGACGGGGAAAAAGGAGGAAAUCCUGUGGGUGCAUGGAUACCGGUGUGCACACACACGGGUCAGUCAUUUUAUUUAAGCCGAUUCAUCGCUCCUUAAUCCAGGCCAACUCUCCCCAGGGCACCUUCUUCCCUACACUUUGCUGCACACAAACCAACAGCCUCGCAACCACCAGCCACCCUACAAUAACAAACCAGGGUCUGCAAGCGUCACCUGUGCGCUCCGGAGCAACGCUACGACAGCGACACACGGCACCUCUAGCAGCUCCCUGGCGCAUCCCACCAGCCACCCUACAACAACAACCCGAGAAGUGUGACCACCCAAACCGGACCCACAAUGCAGGCAAACAAACUUCCAGUGCGGAAGGAAGCGGAUUUGCCUUUGAACUUCCAAAGCGGCUGCUGUUAGAAGCAAGAGCGAGGAUUUUCGAUCACGCUAUUAAGACCGUUCUCUCGCCGCCUCCUUUCCAGCUGGCAAAGGGGCACAAACCCGUGCACCCCAGAGCCCCUGAUUGGAAAGGGGAGGAGAUCGGGAAGGGACCCUCGCCUCCCCCCGACCCCACAGCUCAGUCCUGCUAGCUGCCCUGUGCCUCGAGGUUCUCCUCUCUGGGGUUAUUUCCUGGUGCAGCAGGGAACACAGGAAGCCGGCAUUGUUACAGCCUGAAUAAGCUUUUCCUUCUCGGCAGAGCCAUCGGAAAAUGAGCACAGAGCAGGGGUGCACCUGACCGCCCUGAUAACAGGGACUUGGCCGGGCCAAGGAGCUUGCGGCUCGCUGCCCGGUGACUUCACCUCUCCACAGAUCCAUAUCAGUGCGGCUUGAAUUGCGCCGGGGUCUGCCAGCUCAUAUCCUCCCCUCCGUCCGUGCACGUGUUCCUCCGCCAUUAUACACAUGCCUCGGGCAGCACGUGGGAGAGAGAGAGAACGGCCUUCCAUAGCUGCAGCCCCAUCCAGCCUACAGCAAAACCUUUCCCACUCCCUGAUGAAAUGCAGCCACCUCUGAGGUGGAGCGGAGCCGCUGUUAAACAGCUACACCCAACACCCCCAUUUAAGUCAGGAAGCAGAGAACGCCUGCUCCAGCUAGAAGAACAGAAGGAAUUUAAGUCACAAACAUCCCCACCCCCGCACAGAAAGCAUCUUUAAUGAGCACAAGGUCUCAGGCCUGAGUCUCAUCCAAGAGGAAGCACCGCGCCCAUUGGCAUUAUACGCAGCCCGGCACGGACUCCGAAAGGCAAACCGGGAAGUACCCUGUGCCGAAUGGGUAACGUUACUGGCUGCGGUACCAGGGAACCUCCACCUACUCACUGUAUUCUAGCAGCAUGUUUAGAGGGCUCGAGCGAGAUCCACGUGCCACCGUGCUAGGUGCAGUACAUGCAUAGAGUAAGAGAACGUCCCCGCCCUGCUGGCAAUCGAUCAUCGACACAGCCACAAGCAGGAUGUGAUCCCCGGAGAGACUAAGUGACUGGGCCAAGAGCCUGUGGCAGGACCAGAAAUUUAGCCCUGAUCUCCUGAAUCCCACUCCAGGGCCUUACCCACCAGGCCAGGCCAGGGCCAACCCAGCCUGGCUAGUGCAGUCGGACAUGAUCCCGCCCAGGGUGGGCAGCGCGACAUGCGCACAGCUGCUGCGGGACCCAGGCCCCACGGGCGGCAGAUCCGGGCCCACGGCAAGUGCCAACAGACCCUUUCUUUUUAAUCCUGGCCCUGGGUUUCCCACUAACCAGGACCUGCCCUUGCUGAACGCAGAUUUCUCUUUCCUCCCCCUGGCCAAGAGAGCGAGGAAAGCUCCAGCCAAAAGGCUGCCAGCCAAUCAGCGUGUGCCACUGGCAUCUGGAGGGGGGUGGCUGGGGGAUCAUGCCCUGGGCAAUGCCAGCUUUGGAACUGCCACCAGCUGCUUGGGACAGCUGCGGGGCUGGAGUGCUGGGAAUGAUGCAUAUGUCAGGGUCAGCUAAGCUCCGGCCCUCUAGCCUAACAAAUGCAGAAGUUAAUAGCGCCAUCUACUGGUGGAAGGAUAGUAUCGGGUUCUUCUUUAUUUGCAUCUUCUUACCCCAGGGCAUUAUGGGAGAAGAGGACAAAUCAUUCUUAUUGUUUAUGCCAACUAUGUCAAGUUGAGAUGCAGGUGAACAGGUGACUGAUCCUGGAGUUUUUUUUAGGUAGGCUUUGAUUGGGGUGGGUGGAUAACAGUUAAAACGGGGUCACCACAACAUGCAAAGUCCUGGGAAGAAGUUUCCAGAGGUGCUGUAGGGA